GACGUAGGAGGCGAGCGUUGUCCGGAGUUACUGGGCGUAAAGCGCGCGCAGGCGGCCCUGUGCGCUGCCGGUGAAAGCUCCCGGCUUACCUGGGAGAGGUUCGGCAGGACGGCAGGGCUGGAGGGUGGGAGAGGUCGGUGGAAUUCCCGGUGUAGCAGUGAAAUGCGUAGAGAUCAUGAGGAAGACCAGUGGCGAAGGCGGGUCUCUGGACAGUUCCUGACACUGAGACACGAAGGCCAGGGGAGCAAACGGG
Molecule: ribosomal RNA, 253 nt
Filed under: uncultured bacterium
Lineage: Bacteria
Description: partial 16S ribosomal RNA
Rfam family: Bacterial small subunit ribosomal RNA
Source: RNAcentral